Molecule: ribosomal RNA, 467 nt
Filed under: uncultured bacterium
Lineage: Bacteria
Description: partial 16S ribosomal RNA
Rfam family: Bacterial small subunit ribosomal RNA
Source: RNAcentral
GACGAACGCUGGCGGCGUGCUUAACACAUGCAAGUCGAACGGAAAGGCCCUGCUUUUGUGGGGUGCUCGAGUGGCGAACGGGUGAGUAACACGUGAGUAACCUGCCCUUGACUUUGGGAUAACUUCAGGAAACUGGGGCUAAUACCGGAUAGGAGCUCCUGCUGCAUGGUGGGGGUUGGAAAGUUUCGGCGGUUGGGGAUGGACUCGCGGCUUAUCAGCUUGUUGGUGGGGUAGUGGCUUACCAAGGCUUUGACGGGUAGCCGGCCUGAGAGGGUGACCGGCCAAAUGGGGACGGAGAUACGGCCCGAACCCCACCGGGAGGAGGAGGGGGGGAUAUUGGCAAAAGGGGCGAAACCCGGAUGAGCCACCCCCGGGGGGGGAAGGCGGGCUUUGGGGUUGAAAACCGCUUUCCCUUGGAACAAGGGUGAGGGGAGGGAAAUGGGAAAAAAAGCCCGGGCAAACAACGU